AGAGGUGGCUUAUGGGUUAUUAGGUGGCGAUGAGGUUGGAAGAAUGAGACGACGUUGGAGUUGGAAGAAUGAGUCGGCAAUGAAGUUGGAAGAAUGAGACGGCGAUGGAGUUGGAAGAAUGAGACGGCGAUGGAGUUGAUAGGUUCCACAGACGGUGCUGAAGUUGGAAGGUUGCACAGUCGGUGCUGAAGUUGGAAGGUUGCACAGACGGCGCGGCGUUUAGAGUUUUUGGAAAUGGUGGUUUCGCGGGACCACAGAACGUGAGAGAGAAAGAAGGGAUGCAAAGGUGCACCAAGAGGGGUAAUGUGAAGGAUCACAAAAAAAGAAGAGAAAGGGAGGUAGACACGAGAGACCACUAGGAAAAGGUAGAGGAGGUAAACUCGAAGGUGCACAUGAAGCUGGUAGACUUGCAGGGGAUAAAAGAAUGAGAAAAGAGGGGAGUUGUGGUCUUGUUAGACCACAAGGAGAGGAGAAAGUUGUGGUCGUGAGGGACCACAGGGAUGAGAGAAGAGGAGAAUUGUGGUCAUGCGAGACCACGAGGGAAGAGCAUAUAAGAGAAUGAGGAAAAAACACAGACGGUGAUGGGGUUCUGCCGUUUGUGAAAGAGGAGAGAGAAAGAGAGAGGAGAGAGAAAAGAAGAGAGAGAAAGGGGAGGAGAGAGAAAAGAAGAGAGAAAUAGAGAUGAGAGAGAAAAUCACCUUAUCAAGGG
This 709-nucleotide long non-coding RNA is filed under the name Amborella trichopoda. RNAcentral describes it as "long non-coding RNA (ATRI_LNC000139)". Lineage: Eukaryota; Viridiplantae; Streptophyta; Magnoliopsida; Amborellales; Amborellaceae. The record is from RNAcentral.